AACAUGUGUGUGCCUAUAUAGAAAUGCAUUUUUAAUAUCUUCAUUUUUAUGUAAUUAUUUUAACGUUCUUGCGCGGUGAUGAUUUUGAGGGGGUGGGGUAAAAUUUUCAUCUAAAACAAUAUCAGAUCGGAAUUAAUUAAUAUUCAAAACACGUUAAUAGGUAUGUAAUGUUUAAAACAAUUUUAUUAACCAUUAAACGAGAAUUAUUAAGAUAUUUCAUUAUAAUUAAUUCUGUAUUAACACCACUGUUGCUUUGUUGUUUAUGUACAAUAUCAGAUCGGAAUUAAUUAAUAUUCAAAACACGUUAAUAGGUAUGUAAUGUUUAAAACAAUUUUAAAUAUAAGUAGAAUGCGUUAGAGUAAUUAAAAUAAUUGCUAAUUAAUCGAAGGUAAUGUCUAUUGUUGUUUAAAAGCACGUAACAUAAGAUCUAAGUACCGUUCCGCUCGAAAUUCACCUUCAGACUGGCCCGUUGUCUUCUGUGAAAGUUCUUUUAUUUAAAGUUGUUUAUAUGACUUUUCGAAAAAGGAAAUUCUAUUUAUUACGAAUAUUAUUCCCGUUACACACAUGCGCAACAUUCGGAAAGUCAUAUAAACAACAUGUAAUAAAAGUACUUUCAUAGAUGACAACGUGUCAGUUUGAAGGUGAAUUUCGAAGAGGACUGUACACAGAAGAUAUACUCCGAGCUGUUAGACAAUAAUAGACAGUUGUAUCGAUUAAUUAACAAUUAUUUUAAUGCACUAAUGCACUUUACUUAUAUUACAGGAAAAUUUUACUCUCGAAGUUAUCACUGCGCAAGAACGUUAAAAUAAUUAUAUAAAAAUGAAGAUAUUAUAAAUGCAUUUCUAUAGGCACACAUAUGUUUAUUAUACACUAUAAAUUAAAAAUAAUUAUUUCAAAUUCUAUUACAAUAUAAAUAUACUAUAUAUACUAUCGCCCACUGGUGGUACCGGUACUAACUAAAAUGAUUCUGGUUACGUGAAAGUGGAUUUGUGAGCUUCUAUGUUCUUCUGUAUUCUUUGGCAGCAUCUACUUGGCUUUACUCAUCACAUAUAUAUGAAUUUAAGUGUGCAACUGUGAAGUAAUAUGGCGAUUUUAAUUAACAAUUUCGACGCAGUAAAAUUUUGGCGCUAUCGACGUUUAGGUGGAACUUUCGAAUCUAUAUCGAUUGCAUUAUCGAUGCCAGUGUGUUAAUUAUGUAUAUUAUUUGUUUACAAUGUACGUAUAACGUGUCUCCGAUAGGAAUUUUUUCCUCCCCCCAUCGGAGUUUGAAUUUAAUUAAAGAUUUGUGUAGGUUUUAGAUUUUAAAUAAAAACAAAUUUUCGUUGGUA
Polistes canadensis is the source of this 1328-nucleotide long non-coding RNA. RefSeq lists it as uncharacterized. Lineage: Eukaryota; Metazoa; Arthropoda; Insecta; Hymenoptera; Vespidae. The record is from RefSeq and is a predicted model, not a curated record. The transcript is spliced from 2 exons.